This is an RNA transcript of Agrilus planipennis (emerald ash borer), 8304 nucleotides long. It is a transcript of the gene named facilitated trehalose transporter Tret1-2 homolog, with no coding region annotated. The transcript is spliced from 8 exons. NCBI's taxonomy places the organism in Eukaryota, Metazoa, Arthropoda, Insecta, Coleoptera, Buprestidae. The record is from RefSeq and is a predicted model, not a curated record.
CGAAAGUAAUCCAACAUGUACGGAAACUACUCCACUGCUCCCAGAAACGAAGGACCAAAACCGAAAAUCGCAGGAUGAAGGGCAACUUGUCCUCGGUGGCAUUGGGCAUCACUCUUUCUUGGUCUUCGCCGGUUAUAUCAAAACUGAAUGGAGAAGUUUCAACCGUUGAUUUGCCAUUGGGCCGACUGAUAACAGACGAAGAGGAAUCCUGGAUUGGUUCCUUGGUGACUCUAGGAGCCGCUUCGGGUCCUUACAUAGGCGCCUUUCUAGCCGAUUCCAUAGGUCGAAAGAAGACUCUUAUAUUUGCAGCGGGAAUUCCCAGCUUCAUUAGUUUCGUCAUCUUAGCUUUCGCAACGAAUUUGUACGUCUAUUAUUUCGCUAGGUAUAUAGGAGGACUUGCUAUAGGAGCCAUUUACACUGCGCUACCCAGUUAUGUAUCCGAAAUAUCGGAAGAUGUUAACAGGGGUGCUACAGGAUGCGCUAUGAAUAUUUUUAUCACAUUAGGACUGAUAUGGUCGUACAGCAUAGGCCCUUUCGUUUCGAUAAGAACGUUUAGUUUGAUUUGUGCCGUCGUUCCUCUAACGUUUAUAAUAUUAUUUUCAUUUUUUCCUGAAAGUCCGUACCAUUACGCGGCUAAAAACGAUUUGGAUAAAGCCCACAAUGCAUUAAGCAAAGUAAGAAUGAAGACGAUCGACGAAAUAAAAGGCGAAAUGAAAACGAUAAAGGACACUGUUGACGGGCAAAUGAAAGACAGAAAAGGCAUCUGUGAUUUAUUCAAAACAUACGGAAGUGUAAAAGCUCUUAUUAUUUGUAUGAGCCUCGUAGCUUUCCAACAAUUUUCCGGUAUAAAUGUGGUAUUAUUUUACACUCAAACAAUUUUUGAAGCAACCGGAAGCAGCAUAUCUUCAAUUUUAUCUUCGUUCAUAAUUGGCUUAGUGCAGUUAAUCCCCAGCGCAAUUACGUCACUUAUUGCGGACUCGUUGGGUCGCAAAGUCACCCUCUUAUUUUCCGCUCUGGGCCAGAUACUGUCCUUGUUUCCUUUAGGUCUUUACUUUUUUUUAAAAGAGAAAGGAAACAAUGUGGAAGCUGUUUACUGGUUACCUGUUACGUGUCUUGUUAUAUACAUUGUAACUUUUCGGGUUGGGUUCGGACCCUUGCCCUGGACCAUAAUGGCCGAGUUAUUCCCACAGAAUAUAAAAACAGCGGCGUGUACGAUUACCGGUUCCUUUUGCUACAUUUUGGCCUUCGUUAUAACCAAGUAUUUCCAAACUGUCACAUAUUACAUAGGAAUGGGAGGGGGGUUUUGGAUUUUCACUGGAUUUUGCAUCUCAUCUUUUUUAUUUAUUUAUUUUUACGUUCCGGAAACGAAACAAAAAAGUUUUUUAGAAAUUCAAGAUAUAUUACAUGGACGUCAUAUAGGCAGAAGCAGAUGUUAAAAAUAACUCUAGUGAAAUUUAGUUAGUCUAAUUAUAAUAACCUACUUAAUUAAAAAACUAUUUGUUGAAAUAAAUUUAAAAGAUAUUCAUGUACCUAGAAUGUUUUGCUCCAUGUGUAUAUUUACGAGUUUUUUAUUUUGUUCAUCGUACUUAACAACAGUUGUACGUGCUGAAUUAUAAAAUAAACGAUUAGACAGUAAUCUAGUUAAAGUUAGAAAUUAAUGCGUGCACCUCCACAAUGAAAAUGCACCUAUACAGAGAUAGCCAUUUACCUACAUAUGUUGAAAAUUCCAUUCAUUCUUUUAAUAGGAAUUUGUGACAAUUUAUUCUAGAAACAGUAAAAUUCUGAUACAUGUACCGUGAUUAUCCCUCGUUGUAGCCAAUGAUACCCCCAAAUAAAAUCAGUAUAAGAUAAAUAAAGCAGAGUUGUCCAACUUUUGGCAUCAGAAAAGAAGACUUAUAAUUUUCAGCGGUUCUAAAAACCCAGAUGUCCUGGCUCCUGAACAUAACUUUAUUUUUCCGAACAGCUAAAUAAAGAAAGUUGGUCACUUUUUUCCUAAAGUUUUCAAGUUUUAUUACAACCCUCAUACAUAAACAUGUUUAAUACUUGAAUUUAUUAUUUGACUCUUAAAUCCUAUACAGGAAAAAUUUGAACUUAUUCAACUUAUAGGCCUCCUCCUCCCCUUAUAGCCUUCCUAACCUCACCAACCAAUGAGAAUUUAUUCAUUAUAUUUUGAAACAUCGUUAAAUUCCUAAAAUUAAAAUAUGUAAUUGCUAUAGACGAUAAACAUUAAUUGCUUACUGAACAUCUGCUGUAUGUUUUAACAAGUAUUAAACACGAAAAAUGUGUCAACCGAGGCUUCUACUCACUUGCUGCCGAAAUCAAAACAAGUAAGUGCCUAACUUGAAAACUUUUGGAAGUUUUACUCGGAAAUUAUUAUCUAUAAAGUAUUUUAAUACUGAUAUAUAACACCCAACUCGUUAACUAAUUUUUGCUUAUAAAAAAUACUUUUAUAAAAUCUAUUUAAAUUAUUCGCUAAAUUAUUUGGAAACCUUACUUUAUGACUCAACGUUCUCUAUUAUUUCUUAAUACAAAAACUUUUCUUAAUUGCCAUAGAUAAUUUAUUUCUUUUAGCUUCUUAUUAUUUCAGGGAAAUGCGAAGAUUACCUUAGGAUUGGAAAAAGUUGAAGGGCGUGACCAAUCAACACAUUUAUUUAUUCCUAAUCCUCACAUUGACAUCAUCAAGCUUUAGGUCAUUUUCCCAACUGGUAAUUACACAACACACAAUCAAUCGAGCCUCAAUAUGGAUGUCAAUCUAUCUUCCUUCUCUCUGAAACAGAAACUCCUGCGACGGUAGUGGUAAUGGCAUACAUGGGACUUACAAAUCUAUGGUUCUCUUGAUAAAUUUACAUUUUAAAACCCUGACAAACACGACGCAAUUAUGAACAAAAGUUCAGAGUAGUGAAAUAUUCCACCGUACCUACAUCCCCAACUCCUCCUGGUUGGCUGAGAACCCUCCACCACCCCUGCAAACUCAUCAACUGUUCUGCGGGCCUCAAAAUGUCUUUUCAUACCAGUGAAGUGGAUGCCAAGAGAAAAGGUCAAUUAAAAAGAAUUAAAAACACCCAAUGGGGGAACGAGGCAUCCAAACUGUUUGUGGCGUUUCAUGAGCAGUAAUAUAGUCCGGUUGCGUCAUAUUUGGGACUUGUUUACCAACGAAUUGUGGUAUGUUGAAGUCCUUUCUAACACCCUUGAAGUCUUUGGAACUUUUGCCGAUUACUCUCGGACAUUUUGGGACCUUUAUGAAGAAAAUACAAUUGCCAACCAACGUCAAACACGACGCAAUUAUGAACAACAGUUCAGAAUAGUGAAAUAUUCCACCGUACCUACAUCACCAACUCCUCCUAGUGCGUUGAGUCCCUCCACCACCCCCGCAAACUCAUCAACUGUUUUGCGGGCCUCAACGUGUUUUUCGUACCUGUGAAAUGGAUGUUCAGACAAAAGGUUAGUUAAAAAGAAUUAAAAACACCCAGUGGGUGAAGCAAGCAACCAAACGGCUUAAGGCGUCCCACCGGCUAUAAUAUAACUUGGUGGCAGCAUAUGUAAACCAAUGUAAUGUUUUGGUUUGUUGAUGUCCUCUUUAACAUCCCUGUAAUCUUUUGAACGGUUUAUUUGUCGAUUACUUCGACAUUUCGGCUUAGCGUCCGAAGGACUAUUGGGUAACAGAGUUAUCUCCUUCAGAGACUGAAAAGAACUUAAAACUACAGAAUCAAAUUAAAUUAGAGUAAACAGUGAUUCCAAUAAUGUUUGAAAUCAUAAUCGUACAGCUCCAUGUUUUUGUUUCCUUCUGGUUCCUAAAACAUACUAUCAAACAUGUCCUGCACAAAGGCACAUUACUUCUUGUGCUUAUAUAGACCUGGUGUCUCUGCUGACACUAGCCUUCUUCCUAUUAGCACCAACACCAAAAUAAAAACCUCAACAUACAUAAUAGGUAGGAAUUUAUCUUCGACGUGCUAUUUUUUUACCCUCCUCGUCCCGAUCAUCUAAACUGUAAUCGUACAACUCCAGGGAUCUAUUCUAUUCUAUUUGCUUCCUGUUCCUAAAACAUACUCUCAAACGUGUACCUGUACAUGCCCGAAGGCACAUUUAUUGACCUGGUGUCUCUGCGGACACUAAUCUUCUUCCUAUUAACACUAACACCAACCCGCAUUUCACUCGAUCCGAAAACGACACGAAAAAUGAAAAGGGAAAACCACUAACAAAACAUUUGGGUGUAGUGGGUUUCGCUUGCCAUUGCGCUAAAAGUCUCAUUGGGAUGGAUAGCAAAUACCGCAAAAAAUUGACCCUCCGCCAAGUUUGUAUUGAACUGAGCAGACUGUUGCCUCCAAGACUGAUACCUAUCAUUAUGAUUUUCUAACGAAGAAGAGUGGAGAUAACGAAGUCGAGACAACAGAACCACGACAAUAUUAAAAGGAGAUAUUUAUGGUUUUCAAGAGGAUGGAGAACAAACAUUUUCAUCAAACAACGAACACCCCAACUAAACAAUAACGUGACGGAUACACUUCGAUCGCGAUGUUAACGAUAUGUGUGAUCAUGUUUGGUUGUUUUAAUCGAUCGAUGUUCUUCUUUCUCUUCUCAAGCGAGAAGAGAAAGAUUGACCCACGGAAACCUGAAAAAGAAAAUAGGUAAAAUUGUUAGUAUCAUCGUUUAAAAAGAUAUUUGGUUGGAUGUAAAGUACUUCACUUACCGGUCAUGCUGAAACAGAAUCGAAGAUACAAGAUUAGUAAAAGGUAAAACAUAUAAUAUAUUAUUGAUACCCCACCCACUGAUAGGGUGGUAGUACGUACUUACUUCAUUACCAACAUACUUAUAUUCCCACUCCUUGAUUUUAAGCUUAACGAAAUUUAUGUAGGCACCCAGUGAUAAAAUUCGAAAGUUAUGUAUUUCUAAUUUGUGACAUGUAUAUUUGCUUUGAAAGAACUAAGAUUUUAGAUGUGCAGCAGUAAAAUAAAUGAAAUUUCGUAAUUGAAAAAAAACAUUAAAACGACAAAAUGUAAAUUGAGAAUGGAAUAUGAAAAGAAAUCCUGUGUGCCGUUAAGCAUUGUAAAUGUGGUGGCAACAGUGGCGUAAUUCGUGUUGGACGAGAACGACAUUAUGUAAUAGUCGAAAUUGUGGUAAGCCGAAGACGAUCGCUUUUUAAUACUAUGAAUGAAUACGAUGAAUAAAAAAGAAACCUUGCUUGCUUGGUUUAUAUGUUUCACUAAAUUAUUUUUUAGAUUUCACUCUAAAAUAUCCAUCGUCAAAGUGCUAAUAACUCCAGUUGAGAAUAUUAACUCUUUGAUGAUAUCAUUACAGCCGAAAUACACGUUAGAGAAAAAUCCAUAAAAGUGUUUCUUUUUUAUUCAUCAUCAUAGAAAUCAAGUACCUAAAUUAAAAAUUAGUAAUCACUCCUACAUGCCCAUUGGACGAACGCUUAUUACCUGGCUGGCUACCUGUAGGUAGGUACUCGAGCGCAAAAGAAAAAAAUAAAUAGUAAAUUUGGAAAAUAGUACCUACAAUUAACAUUUAAUUAUGGCAAUUGAAUUGAAGUUAAAAAUUAAAAAUUAAAUCAAAAAACUUGGGACUUUCACUUAAAACUUUAUUAAAACCUCGAUACGUAUCUUCAGGAGUAACAAAAACUAUACUAAUUAACAAACAGGAAAUAAAUUAAUUUAUAGAGAUUUAUUCCUAAGAGGGUGGGUGGGGGUUGAACAAUGUUUGGGUCUAAUAUAUAAAUUAAUUUAUUUACUGUUUGUUAAUUAGUAUGGUUUUUGUUACUCCUUUUUUGACUUAAUUUUUAAUUUUCAAUCAUGUUUCACCAAGUGAUAACGGCAGAUACCCUGAAUUGAAGUUUUAAAAAUUUACUAAAUUAAGGAGAAGAUGAAUAAUACGAUUUUUUCCUUUCGAAAAAUUUUCACCUAUAUUUAUGCGGUAGAUGAGACGUUAUUCAUUUUCCCCUUAAUUUCAAAUUAAAAUUUCACAAAAUAUCAAAUGAGUUAUUAAAAACGAACAAUUUACUGGCAACAUUAAAAAUUUAAUGAAUUUAAAUAAAUUGGAAUUGGCGCCAACCUUAAACCGAUUCGCGAGCCGCCGCCACUGUUAUGCCAGAAGAAGGUAUAGGUAAUGCACUAUACCUUGACGCGCAACACUUUUCGCUGUCUUCCUCCUUCCUCACUACACUAUUGUAAAUACACUAGCUGAAAAAAUAUCAAAUAGACCCAAUGAGUGACAAGUAAACAUACACAUAAAAUAAAAGUGUAAAUAAUAUUAUUUAUGGUAUAUGUAGGUGUACGUGGAACCAAACCCCGAAAAGACAGCGUGGACAAAACACCAUGUAUGUAGGUAUGCAUUGAAAUAAGGUAAUCACAAUUUUAAAUGUUCUCCGUGUCCUAACGUCACAUCCCUAAAAAGCAACAAUAAAUACGGUAGGUAGGUAUGUCUUGUAGAUAAUAAUACGGCGUAAAGGACCUAAGGCAGCAACUAAUAAUCACAUAAGUAAUCCAAGUAUUAAGAAUCAAAGUUUGACGUAAUACAGGCGCCGUGCCUGCACACGUCGGUCCCUAGCACGCGGAGCGACUCAAUUGGAUAAUAUGGCAAUGGACCACCAGAGGAGCCCAAUAAUACGCUAACUUACCGUUUGUAAGCCACCUUAUUGGGUGCAAAAAUCAAAUUAGCCCCAAAGUAAUAAAAAUCAAAAAAUACAAAUACAAAUGGAAAUAUAAAAACUUGCACUCGGGUCUAUUUGAAACAAUAUUCAUUAGUGACUUACUUUUAGGCGUCGGCUAGACCUCAGUAGGGUUCACCGAAACCUUAAUCUAUCCAGCGUCGGAUGUCCACGGUCCUCAUCCUCUCCGUGAUGAAUGAUGGUGGUGGAUGGUAGGGAGGGUAGGUAGGUAGGUAGGUAGGUAGGAAGGUGCCAGAGACUGAGCGGAGGGGAAAUCCAUCGAGUAAGCCAUUCUAUCACUGUCAUUAUCACAUACCAAAUCUUCACGAAAGUAUCAACAUGACGUACGGACAAAUUCGAUUCCAAUACAUAACAGUUCCGUUUUUGAAUUAUCUUCUUGGUCUUCAUAUAUAGAUGCAACUGUAACUCUGUAAUAAAUAAAAUCAGUUUUAAAUAACAAAACGAAACAAACUCCCCAAUAAUGCUUAUAUUAGAGGCAUUUAUACAUCAUUUCAAUUAUUUUCGGUAAAUAGUCAAUUAAUGUGUGAAUUGAGAAUGUUUGAAAAAUUAGUGGAACCCAAUGCAUAUAAUUGGGAAUACCCUGUAUCUAAAGUGACGGUAGUGGCCUCUGUGCAUUACAAAUAUAACUUAGUUAGCGGUAUGAGUCAGAGCGCGAACCAUAAAGUUUUGCAAGAGUCGUGAGGAAGUAACGUCAGAUGGCGCCAAUUCAUCUGUAAACCCCUUGCUAAGCCCCACAUCGACGGGGGGUUGCGGAUGUAUGACGUGAAUAAUGAACGACCUUCGAACGGUAAAAUCGUUAGUCAGUCAUGUUGGUUGGUGUACGUGCUGAAAUAAGUAAUGUUGUGUUGUGUCGCAAAAAGUUGUUAGAAACAAAAAAGUAUUCCAAUUUUCGAAAAUUAUUUUGUGCAGCUUUUUUUAUUAUGGAACGAAUUUGUCUGUACGCCACGGCUGAAAUCAUGUCGAAAUGUGGUCAUGGACGCUAUGAAGAAUGUUUAAAGAACAAGUGUUAGCAUAUAAAUUCUACAUUAGUAGCAAACUUCCAGAGUACUAAUUGGUCAAAACAACCCUCCGAUCAAGUUGAUUGCUAACCGACAGCAACAAAGACCAACACUUAAAGUUGUGAUUGCAAAGGUGUGCUGUAUGCGCCCCAAACCACCCCAACCAAGACAGUUGUUAACCGAUUGUGAAGAAGACUUACACUUACAGUUAAUGGUCCCAUAACAUUUACAACAUAGCAAGCAGUUAUUGCCCUGAACGACCCCAAACCCAAGAUGAUUGCGAAGAAGACCAAUGCUUAAAGUUAUGCUAUUUAUUCACCUGUUCCACUUGUUCCAACAAGAAAAUGGUCUAGUCGACUAACAAAUAAGUACCUAAGUUAUAGAAAAGUAAGUAAUCAGAUUACGAAUUGAGUAGCAGUGAGAAAGGCAUUCAUUCAAAAGUAUUCUAUUUUGUUAUAUGCCAAGGAAUGGUCAGCUGUUUUAAUUUAUUGCCUGUACCUGCUCAUUAAAUCAAUUUAAACAACAAUUUAAUAAAACACAUGAAACAAAUGCAGUUGUGUGGCAAAACAUUUGGUAUUCAGGAAAAGUCACCUUCUUUUGUUGUGAAAUAAUCAUAAAACAAUAAAGCAGUUGUAGCAAAAUUAA